RNAcentral lists this long non-coding RNA (323 nucleotides) under Fukomys damarensis (Damara mole-rat). RNAcentral's name for it is "lncRNA (ENSFDAG00000029968.1)". The record is from RNAcentral. Lineage: Eukaryota; Metazoa; Chordata; Mammalia; Rodentia; Bathyergidae.
UGGAGCCUCUGACUGCUCUGUGAGUCUCCACAGAGACACUUGGGAGGGACAGGAGGCUGCUCGGGCCUCUGCCUGUGACUCAGCCCACGGUCUCCCCAGCUGGAGGGGUACAUCCUGAUCAUCUUGAGACCAGACCUGCUGCGGGACCAGCAAAACACAACCCCCAUGCUGCAGAACCAGACCCAGGCGUGGACAAACAUGGAGGAUCAGGUCCUGAACCAGAAGUCAUGCAUGGAGAUCCAGAUGCUAGAGGUUUUCCUGACCAUUGCCAAGCUAGAGAAGCAGCUACAGGAGCAGAGUUAUGAGCUCAGCCAGCCGCAUGG